GUUUAUGGCCAUACCACCCUGAACACGCCUGAUCUUGUCUGAUCUCGGAAACUAAGCAGGGUCGGGCCUGGUUGGAUGGGAGAAAUCUUUUUAAAUGCACAGAGUCAAUUAGUGCCCAAAACA
This is a ribosomal RNA of Theropithecus gelada (gelada), 123 nucleotides long. The record is from Ensembl. NCBI's taxonomy places the organism in Eukaryota, Metazoa, Chordata, Mammalia, Primates, Cercopithecidae.